Molecule: long non-coding RNA, 903 nt
Organism: Lemur catta (Ring-tailed lemur)
Lineage: Eukaryota; Metazoa; Chordata; Mammalia; Primates; Lemuridae
Exons: 3
Source: RefSeq, a predicted model, not a curated record
UCUCGGAAAAGUCAAUUUCAUUUUCACUUCCCCACGUCGCGGCGGCAGGAGCAACAAGCGGCAGCUCCAUACAUCCAAUCAGUUGUAUCCUACUGACUUACUGAUGCUACUCCCGACUAUCUCUGGACCUGGCCCAUCCCUGGUUGCCUGCUAACUGCUCCCUGUCUCCUGCCUUGGAUUCUCCCAGGCCAGCAGCCACACUACUGCCCAAGUUCAGUAGAAAAUUAACUUCAGAUAAUUGGCGAUAAGAAAGAAAACACUGCCAACCAGGAUUGAAACACCGUAAGAUUGAAGGAGAGAAAGAAAUAUGUACACUGAGAACCAUCAGGCUGUGCAGGUGUCAACAUGGCGGGGGAAGCUCACGUUGGCUAGCCAGGCAGAGCCAGCCACUUGAGAGAUACCAGCGUUAUAGUUCCAUCAUCAAUUGGGUUAUGCUCAAAUUGUCCCCAUCUUUCAUUGUUUUUAUUUCCUAUCUUGAUGAGGACUUUUUGUCUUUUCAAUGAUGUAGAACCAACAGAAUUAUGUCCAGUUGUUUCACAAUGUAUGUGGUUGAUGUCAUGCUUCUAUAAUACUUUCUGACAAAGCUUUUUUCCGAUUGAGAAACUGAAGAAACAUUAUCUCUGACUCUGUCAUGGCUCACAAUGCUUUUAAAUAUCUUGCCACAUAUACACUUUUUUAUUUGUUGACAUUUUUGCUUAUUUUGAACUUUAUGCCGGUGGGAAAUAUUUAGCUAUACAUUGAGGGUAAAAGGAAAAUAAAGUUUUCUAAGCAUAGUAUGACCACCACAAAGAUGGUCAUAUACAUAAAAUCAAAGGCAAGUACAUCAAAACAUUCACAGUGGUUGUCUUUGAGUGAUGCAACUAUGGGAGAUUUUGUUUCCUAUUGAAAAAGUAACAUUUUUAA